This 324-nucleotide ribosomal RNA is filed under the name uncultured eukaryote. RNAcentral describes it as "partial 18S ribosomal RNA". It matches the Rfam family "Eukaryotic small subunit ribosomal RNA", at positions 1470 to 1796 of the family's 1831-position model. The record is from RNAcentral.
CCCUUAGAUGUCCUGGGCUGCACGCGCGCUACACUGAUGUGUCCAGUAAGCACCUAACCUCUUCCGAAAGGAACGGGUAACCUUUGCAAAGCACAUCGUGAUGGGGAUAGAUUAUUGCAAUUAUUAGUCUUGAACGAGGAAUUCCUAGUAAGCACAAGUCAUCAGCUUGUGUUGAUUACGUCCCUGCCCUUUGUACACACCGCCCGUCGCUCCUACCGAUUGAAUGUUCCGGUGAGCUCUUCGGACUGCGCGGUCUGCAGUUUCUGCGUUCCGUGCGGAAAGUUGCGCAAACCUUAACAUUUGGAGGAAGGAGAAGUCGUAACA